GACUUGGUGAUUGAUACCGCAUUGUUAUACAAGCAUCCCCGAGGUGGUUCUUAUAAAACUGCUCUUCGAAUUCUUGCCAAAAAAUUUCUUUCUAGAGAGAUACAGCAGUCUGGGGCUGGACAUGCCAGUUCCAUAGCUGCUCUUGCAUCUACAGCAGCUAUGGAACUGGCAUUGUUAAAGAUAAAAAAUGGACCUGAUUUUGGUGCUCCGCCAUCAUUUAUACGGACAAAGCUUCUUACUGUUUUGAGUGAAUGUGGUAAAGCAUCCUCUGUCAUUGAUGAUGUUUCCAUAGUGAAGAGGUAUGCUUCUUCAUCAUCCCAUGCAUUUCCUGUGAACUCUGAUGAUGAAGCGCUUUCAAGAGCCAUUAAGGAGGUGAAGAAUGAACGAGUACACUUUGUCUGGACCCAGUUUUCAGAGUUGAAUUCUUACUUCAAGAAGCAAGCGGAGGAUGAAGGGAAGCUAAAUGCAAAAAUUGCAGAGAUGAUAUCAUUGCUUACGUGUCAAGAGAAGUCUGUCAACAGUAAAGGCACCAAAUGCAUUAUAACAUCUGAUCUCAAGGAAAUUCUAACUAGCAUGGAUGCUAGGGUCCGAUCCCUAUACUCUUCAUUGCCAACUAAUACAAUGCUCAUAAUUUGCACUGGACAUGGG
Molecule: unclassified non-coding RNA, 648 nt
Filed under: Hevea brasiliensis (rubber tree)
Lineage: Eukaryota; Viridiplantae; Streptophyta; Magnoliopsida; Malpighiales; Euphorbiaceae
Source: RNAcentral